GUGACAUUUGGCUGUGGCCUCCCUUACCCUAUUGGUUGUCAAGUUGGAUUUAGCUGAUCAGGCUGGUUAGGUGGGCGUCUCCUUCCUUCC
Molecule: non-coding RNA, 90 nt
Organism: Felis catus (domestic cat)
Lineage: Eukaryota; Metazoa; Chordata; Mammalia; Carnivora; Felidae
Source: Rfam